Molecule: ribosomal RNA, 1450 nt
Filed under: uncultured Spirochaetota bacterium
Lineage: Bacteria; Pseudomonadati; Spirochaetota
Description: uncultured Spirochaetes bacterium 16S ribosomal RNA
Rfam family: Bacterial small subunit ribosomal RNA
Source: RNAcentral
AACGCUGGCGGCGCGUCUUAAGCAUGCAAGUCGGGCGGCAAGGGGAGCUUGCUCCCCUCAGAGCGGCGGACUGGUGAGUAACGCGUGGGUAACCUACCCCCCGGUAGGGAAUAGCCGCUAGAAAUAGCGGGUAAUACCGGAUACGGUUGUUCUACGAUGGUAGGACAAAGAAAGGAGCUACGGCUCCGCCGAGGGAUGGGCUCGCGUCCGAUUAGGUAGUUGGUAAGGUAAAGGCUUACCAAGCCGAUGAUAGGUAGCCGGCCUGAGAGGGUGGACGGCCACAUUGGGACUGAGAUACGGCCCAAACUCCUACGGGAGGCAGCAGCUAAGAAUAUUCCGCAAUGGACGGAAGUCUGACGGAGCGACGCCGCGUGGACGAAGAAUGCCGAAAGGUUGUAAAGUUCUUUUCCAGUCGAGGAAUAAAGAGGGGAGGGAAUGCCCCUGAGAUGACGGUAGACUGGGAAUAAGCCCCGGCUAAUUACGUGCCAGCAGCCGCGGUAACACGUAAGGGGCGAGCGUUGUUCGGAAUUAUUGGGCGUAAAGGGCGCGUAGGCGGCGAGGAAAGUUUGGUGUGAAAUGCGGGGGCUUAACCUCCGCACCGCGCCGGAAACUGCCUUGCUCGAGUCUGUGAGGUGAAGUUGGAAUUCCUAGUGUAGGGGUGAAAUCUGUAGAUAUUAGGAAGAACACCAGUGGCGAAAGCGGACUUCAAGCGCAAGACUGACGCUGAGGCGCGAAAGCGCGGGAGCAAACAGGAUUAGAUACCCUGGUAGUCCGCGCUAUAAACGAUGCGCACUAGGUGUCGGACCGAGCGGUUCGGCGCCGAAGUAAACACGAUAAGUGCGCCGCCUGGGGAGUAUGCCCGCAAGGGUGAAACUCAAAGGAAUUGACGGGGGCCCGCACAAGCGGUGGAGCAUGUGGUUUAAUUCGAUGAUACGCGAGGAACCUUACCUGGGUUUGAUAUGAAGGCGAGGGGCGUAGAGAUACGCCCGCCCGGCAACGGGCGCCUUCACGGGUGCUGCAUGGCUGUCGUCAGCUCGUGCCGUGAGGUGUUGGGUUAAGUCCCGCAACGAGCGCAACCCCUACCGCCAGUUACCAGCAAGUAACGUUGGGUACUCUGGCGGAACUGCCGGCGACAAGCCGGAGGAAGGCGGGGAUGACGUCAAGUCAUCAUGGCCCUUAUGUCCAGGGCUACACACGUGCUACAAUGGGCGGCACAACGCGAGGCAAAGACGCGAGUCAAAGCAAAACGCUGAAAACCGCCCGUAGUUCGGAUUGAAGUCUGAAACCCGACUUCAUGAAGUUGGAAUCGCUAGUAAUCGCGCAUCAGCACGGCGCGGUGAAUACGUUCCCGGGCCUUGUACACACCGCCCGUCACACCAUCCGAGUGCGGAGGUACCCGAAGCCGGUAGUCUAACCGUAAGGAAGACGCCGUCGAAGGUACGUUUGGUGA